GAUGAACGCUAGCGGCAGGCCUAACACAUGCAAGUCGAGGGGUAGAAGGAGCUUGCUCCUUUGAGACCGGCGCACGGGUGCGUAACGCGUAUGCAAUCUACCUUGUACAGGGGAAUAGCCCAGAGAAAUUUGGAUUAAUGCCCCAUAGUAUAUAACCUUCGCAUGUUGGUUAUAUUAAAGUUCCAACGGUACAAGAUGAGCAUGCGUCCCAUUAGUUAGUUGGUAAGGUAACGGCUUACCAAGACGAUGAUGGGUAGGGGUCCUGAGAGGGAGAUCCCCCACACUGGUACUGAGAAACGGACCAGACUCCUACGGGAGGCAGCAGUGAGGAAUAUUGGUCAAUGGUCGCAAGACUGAACCAGCCAUGCCGCGUGCAGGAAGACGGUCCUAUGGAUUGUAAACUGCUUUUAUACAGGAAGAAACCCUCCCACGUGUGGGAGCUUGACGGUACUGUAGGAAUAAGGAUCGGCUAACUCCGUG
This 480-nucleotide ribosomal RNA is filed under the name uncultured bacterium. Its description in RNAcentral is "partial 16S ribosomal RNA". It matches the Rfam family "Bacterial small subunit ribosomal RNA", at positions 28 to 507 of the family's 1533-position model. The record is from RNAcentral.